AUUAUUUUUGGGUAGUAAUCCAUUCUAGUUUCUGUAUAAGGUAUCUUCAUGUCAAAAUGGUUAUUGUAUUUAAUUGUCACUGUUGCAUUUUGAAUGAGGUUACAUGAUUAAUUUGUGUGUUCCUAAAGUUAUAUUCAAAUUAUUUUCUGUGUCUAAAUCCUAUCCUAUUUUUUGUGUUAAGUAGCUUACAAUUUUAGUCUCGUUUGAGUUCCUACAGGUUCAGUUCCAAGUAAGGUAUAUUUAGCCUAAGUUUGAUGAGCAUUUUUGUUUCCAAUCUGAUUGCUUUCUUCAUGAAGUGUGUUUCUAAGACCUAAAUGACGUAUAAUUUCUUUGUAUUUAGUGAAGUUUACCCUUAUCCCAUGCCUAAAUUCUCUGAAUAUGGUUAAGAUUUUAUAGCGUUACUUUCGCUUUUGUUUUAGAUUACAAAUCCGUAAUGACCUGGCUCGGCCUUCUAAGCAUCUCAUAUCAGCAUCUCUUGUUGCAUGUACUAGUAAAAUUCUCAUGGUAAAUGCUUUAGUUUUCGAGAGUAUAUUUUCUUUGUAGUAAUUUAAGUUUACAAUGUGCACUUAUUAAACCUCUGUUAGUCUUAGGUAUGAGAUUUGUUUAUUUCAUUUUUCGGUUCGCCUUAGUUUCGUUAGUUGAAGAUUUUGGGUGAAUGAUGUUGUAAAGAAUGUCUUGUUGAGUUCAUCUUAAUUAGCAAAGUUAUGUAGUAAUAUGUUUUGAUACUUAGGAUUAGGGGCGUGCAUCGGUCGAUUCGGUUCGGUUUAUGUAUUAUCGGUUCGGUUUAUCGGUUUUCGGUUUUUAAAUACACUAAAUCAAUAACGAACCAAUAAGAUAAUUUUUUAUCGGUUUUGGUCCUUAACGGUUCGGUUUUUGGUUUAACCAUAAGAAAAUGCUUAUAAAAUAAAUAUAUGACUUCUCUAAUAAAUUUGACACGACAAGACAAUAAUGUAACUUUACAAAAAGCUCAUAAAAAUAGAAAUAAUAAUAACAAAAAUGAAAAGAACUAUACAUGUGUAACACCAAAGAGAAAUCAAGAGGAAUAUGGUUCUUACUUUAGGUUUUGACGAUUUGUAAAAUGUAAAGUUGUGAAACUCAAAGUCACAACGAAGUAUGAAUUGAUGUCUAAAUGACAAAGACAUAACUAUUAAGAUAUUGAGAUUAAUAUUUACUAAUAUGUAAAAGUAGUAAAUUACUAUAGUCUUAACUCUUAAUGGGUUAUCGGUUUAUCCAAUAACUCAAUAUUGAAAACCAAUACCGAAUCGAUAACCCGAUAAUUUUUUUUUAUAAAACCAUUAAGAUACUGCUAACCCAAUAACUCAAUAACAAUAAAUCAAUAACACUUUUUUUGAUUUGAUUUAUCAAUCGGUUCAGUUUUUGCACACCCCUAUUUAGGAUUCUGUCAUGAUAGUUUGGGUUAGAAAAGAGUUAAGAUUUUUAUGGACACGUGAUUGAACCCUUCAUAUGAGUUGUUGCCUUUUCCAGAAAAUGAUUUGCACCAGUAGAUUUUAAGUGAGUCUAAUUAUGAUGAAUAUCCUUUCAAUACAGUAUUGGUGUGUCUUUGUUGGUAUUUCAUUUAAAAUUUUAUUUAAUUAUGGUUAGAAGUUUGUACCAAGUUUGCAACAAAGGUUUUGUCAUCUUAGUCAAAGCAUUUACAUAAUUUGGAAUUCAUUCUUCUGCCCUCAUAUGUUUGCAUUUUCAAAUUUUGAGUUGUUGUGACUUUCUUCCUUAUCCUAAUCUUUAUCAUUUUUUAUUGCAUGAGCUCACUCCAUCCGAGUCUACUUUGGACUCCCCUCCUUCCAAUUUCGAGUAUCGAGUCAGCCAUAGGUGUCCGAGGGUGUAAGGGAAGCAGAUUACAGGUCUUGGAAAGCAGAAAAAUGAGUUAUAUAUAUUCGAUAUACACUGAUAUACAACUAAUGUAUACAAAAACGGAAAUUUGGUAAAAGCCCAAAUAUUGCAGCGAAAUUGGCUAAAAAAGGAGGCCCAAAUUCAUUUCUCUUUUACCUUUAAAUUGUUUAAUUGUCUUUAUUUAUUGUUUGUUUUUUCUAUCAUUAACUCUAACUUUAGAAUUGUUAAUUAACUUAAUUAGAUUCCCCAAAAGAUGAG
Molecule: long non-coding RNA, 2106 nt
Filed under: Solanum tuberosum (potato)
Lineage: Eukaryota; Viridiplantae; Streptophyta; Magnoliopsida; Solanales; Solanaceae
Description: long non-coding RNA (STUB_LNC007983)
Source: RNAcentral